UCAAUGGCGGACAUUCGUCAGCAGCAGCCGCUAUCCCACCAGGUGGUCAAGGCGGCCACCGCGGUGACGGCUGGUGGGUCGCUUCUGGUUCUUUCGGGCCUGAUCCUAGCUGGGACUGUGAUUGCACUAGCUCUGGCCACGCCUUUGCUGGUGAUUUUCAGCCCGGUGCUGGUCCCCGCGGGGAUCACGGUGUUUCUGCUGGUCACCGGGUUCCUGUCUUCGGGAGGGUUUGGGGUGGCAGCGUUGAGCGUGCUGUCCUGGAUUUACAGGUACGUGACGGGGAAGAACCCGCCGGGAGCGGACCAGCUGGACCGGGCAAGGCAAAAGCUGGCUCUUAAGGCUAGGGAGAUGAAGGACAGGGCUGAGCAGUAUGGGCAGCAGAACAUACCUGCCGGUUCCCAGCAGCACUAGAUUUGAUAAUUUAAGCCAAUGAUCAGCUCCAAUUCCAGUGGUGUGGAUAGGUGGAAUUGUCAUGUAGCUGGCUAGUUUUAUC
RNAcentral lists this long non-coding RNA (493 nucleotides) under Coffea arabica (coffee). RNAcentral's name for it is "long non-coding RNA (CARA_LNC000887)". Lineage: Eukaryota; Viridiplantae; Streptophyta; Magnoliopsida; Gentianales; Rubiaceae. The record is from RNAcentral.